Non-coding RNA from Acanthosepion pharaonis, 113 nucleotides. The record is from the annotation of a GenBank genome assembly. NCBI's taxonomy places the organism in Eukaryota, Metazoa, Mollusca, Cephalopoda, Sepiida, Sepiidae.
UAUGUCCACGUCACGUUGAAAGUACUGGUUCCUGUACGAUUACCAAACUUAAGCAACGUCGAAUCUGGUUAGUACUUAUAUGGGUGACCGCUUGGGAAUCCAAGGUGCUGUCA